GAUGAACGCUGGCGGCGUGCCUAACACAUGCAAGUCGAGCGAUCAGACGUGGAGCUUGCUCCUCUGAUGUUAGCGGCGGACGGGUGAGUAACACGUGGAUAACCUACCUAUAAGACUGGGAUAACUUCGGGAAACUGGAGCUAAUACUGGAUAAUAUAUUUAACCGCAUGGUUCAAUAGUGAAAGAGGUUUUUUCUGUCACUUUUAGCUGGCUCCGUGUCGGCUUGGGUAGGUGGUAAGGUAACGGCUUACCAAGGCCACGAUGCGUAGCCGACCUGAGAGGGUGAUAGGCGACACUGGAGGUGAGACGGCGUCCAGAGUCCUACGGGAGGCACCAGUAGGGAAUGUUAGGCAAUGGGCGAAAGACUGACGGAGCAACGCCGCGUGAGUGAUGAAGGUCUUCGGAUCGGAAAACUCGGUUAUGGGGGAAGAACAAAUGUGGAAGUAACUAUGCACGUCGUGACGGUACCUGAAGAGGAAGCCCCGGCUAACUACGUG
RNAcentral lists this ribosomal RNA (497 nucleotides) under uncultured bacterium. RNAcentral's name for it is "partial 16S ribosomal RNA". It matches the Rfam family "Bacterial small subunit ribosomal RNA", at positions 28 to 507 of the family's 1533-position model. The record is from RNAcentral.